GACGAACGCUGGCGGCGUGCUUAACACAUGCAAGUCGAGCGGUAAGGCCCUUUCGGGGGUACACGAGCGGCGAACGGGUGAGUAACACGUGGGUGACCUGCCCUCAGCUCUGGGAUAAGCCUGGGAAACCGGGUCUAAUACUGGAUAUGACUCCAUGACGCAUGUUGUGGGGUGGAAAGCCUUGUGCGGCUGAGGAUGGGCCCGCGGCCUAUCAGCUUGUUGGUGGGGUGANGGCCUACCAAGGCGACGACGGGUAGCCGGCCUGAGAGGGCGACCGGCCACACUGGGACUGAGACACGGCCCAGACUCCUACGGGAGGCAG
RNAcentral lists this ribosomal RNA (322 nucleotides) under uncultured bacterium. RNAcentral describes it as "bacterial SSU rRNA". It matches the Rfam family "Bacterial small subunit ribosomal RNA", at positions 28 to 351 of the family's 1533-position model. The record is from RNAcentral.